UGCCUAGUGAUUAGAACUUGUGCUUGAUGAUACAUGUGAGUAGGACUGAGGUGUUUUUAAUAGGGAGAUGGAGGGAAUACACGUCUCCUCUCCCACGAAAACUGCCUAAUGAGAUGCCUGUUGCCUGGUCUUCAAUUACCAAUGUCAAAGCUGCAUACAACCUAGAUUUUAGACACACCACAAACAGGGUGCAUUUUUACAGACACGUGCUUGAAGUGAGACAAGGUUGUAGUUAAUAGGCUCAGUUCAUACUGUAAUGGGAAGCACGAGCUGCCCUGUGGACACGAAGGCAGACUGUUUCUCAUCAGCAUGGAGAGCUUACGUCAUUUUUCAGAGUUACAGAGGCUGUGAUGGCAUUUGUUUACCUAACUGAUUCCUGUGCCAGGUAUAGUGCUGCUGGCAGGAAACGGGAGCUGAAUGGGAUUGCUUCUUUCAGGCUUUUACUCAGGGUCCAGUGCUGGGUGUUUCUAGUUUCCGGAUGGGGUGUGCCUUCAACUGCUGUUUCUCUGGUUGCCAGGAGGGACACGGAAGAUAAAUGACAUGGCAGAGCAUUUCAAGCUCUCAUUCAGGCUAUGGUUGCUAGGUGGUUUUGGUUCCCAGUCUGGGUGUGUCCUCUGCUUCUGUGGCUUCCAGCAGGCACAGUGAAGAUAGAUAGACAGAUGAUAUAGCAAGCGCUUUAUAGCUUUUGUUCAGGCUCAAGUGUCUUCCUCAUUCUUGUACAAGAUCACCAGUAUCUGUGAAAGGGAGGAAGGUGCCUGCGUGUGUCAAACAUCUGUGUAUUUAAGAAGAUGCUACGAGGUGCACUGAGCCUGGAAUGGGUGCGGUGGAGGCAUAGGAGCUGAGAGCACCAGCCCCAGGAACCAGCAGAACCGGUUCUGCUCUGUACAGCCUGGGAAAUCUUGCCUUCAAAGACAUGACUCGAUUGCUUUUACUAGAAUAUCCAGCUCAAAUUCAGAUAGCUUCCUCUGCAUCGCUCCUGAAAAUGAAAUGGACUCAAUACCUAAUAAUGGAAUUAAGCCAGUUACAGUCUCUGAUUGUGCACCAAAGACACUGCAAUUUUCUCUUUUUCAGAAAAACUCAGCACGCAGAAAGAUGGAGACUAGCACUCUUUCUCUUUGAGAGAAAAGCAUUUUGGCAAUUUGGGAUUAUUUUCCUUAAAACAAAUGUCACUUUAUGGGACAUGCAAAAACAGUUUACAAGGAUUAGGCAUUGUUCUGUCCUUAGUAGGGAGGCAGAGGGCCAGCAGGAUCAGGUCACAGAUUUAGUGAAAUGCUUGAUACUAGACUUCUCAGACAGACGCUCCCAGUAAAAUCUUUAAAACAUAAUUAAACAAACAUUAACAUGAAGAAUAGGCUUCUCAGUCCAAACUCAAGUUGCCCUUUUUUUAAGCUCAAAAAAAAGUGUAGGGUUUUCAGCAAGAUAAACUUCUUCUAUACAGAGCAAAGGUGAGAACCCAAUAAUCUGAAACUAGUGUCAUUUGAACCAGAAGAAAGGCGAGUAAUUACUUAUCAAAAAGCGAUCAGUGACCAGUUUCUGAAAUUCUAUCUAGCACGUUACAAAAAUGAUUCACCACCCAGCACAAGGGAAAUGAGUGGCUUUGUAACAACUGUAGGCUCCCACAGCAGAGCUAGAGGUGUGGCUAGUCUCUCCUCAACCCAAGGAGAUAAGCAAGGUUUUGAAAGAAAAGAGCAGAGCCGAAGCCCUUAGCUCUGUUGCUCAACCUGGAGAAAUACACCAAAUCUUCAAGAAAAUGCUCAGCUUUGAGCUGGUAAGCAGUUAUUUAGACAAUCGAGAGAAAGAUUACUGCCAACUGGAAGAAAAGUUUUAAAAUUGGUCCUUCUUAAAGCAGACAAGGCUGUGCAGAACCACAAUGGUUAUUCACUCAUCUUCCUUAUAAAUGCUCAUAUAAAACUAUUUGAGGCUAUAUUUUGUAGGAAGCUUGAUGAGGUCACGAGUGACUUUGUCCAGGCUAAUCAGAUUAGAUUUAUUUUCUAACAAGUUCAGACAACAACCAGUUGAUUAGUAUUAUGGCAUCCCAUCCACAUUCUAAGGUCCCUAUGCAGCCAUUUUGCUAUAAACAGAGAAAGUGUUUGAUUGACUGAACUAGCAGCUCGCUGAAUGUUAGAUAAAUCAGUAGUCAGCAACUUUUUUCCGUUUGUGGACUCAUAUUUUCCAGUGGAGGUACAGAUCCCUAAAGAGUGAUUUAUCUGACUGAAAAUAGCCUUGCUUUUCUCAGUUGCCUUUCUUGGACCCCUCAGAAGUACCCUGAUCAUGGGCUGAAAAUCACUGAUAUAUGUGUUCACCUGUGACUCUGUGUGUGAAAUAGUCUCAAGUCUAACUCCCGGAUAAACACAUCUUUCCCCUUGUCUCUUUAUUCACCUCUUUCAAGCAACUAGUCAGGAACGUCUCUUCACCCCACUCUGAUGGGAGUAUACUCCUAAGGAAUUCAAUAGUACACAUGCAUGCGCUCAAGACAAAAGUUUAGAAGAUAAAAAUACCUUUACCUGCAGACAAUAUCCUCUUACUUGGUACAAUCCCAGAUCAAUCUAGUCUGCACUGUAUUCUCUUUAUAAAAUAAAUUAGAAUAAACUGAAAGGACUUACCA
Long non-coding RNA from Struthio camelus australis, 2605 nucleotides. The record is from Ensembl. Lineage: Eukaryota; Metazoa; Chordata; Aves; Struthioniformes; Struthionidae.